CGAAGUCUGGUGCCAGCAGCCGCGGUAAUUCCAGCUCCAAUAGCGUAUAUUAAAGUUGUUGCAGUUAAAAGCUCGUAGUUGAAUUUCGGGAUCAAUACGUCGGUCGUGCUUCGGUACGUACUAACGUCAUUGAUUUCUCCCUUCUGACGAAUCGUGAUGUCAUUAAUUUGGUGUUACGGGGAGUUAGGACUGUUACUUUGAAAAAUUAGAGUGUUUAAAGCAAGCAAUCGCUCGAAUACAUUAGCAUGGAAUAAUGAAAUAGGACGUUCGAACCUAUUUUGUUGGUUUCUAGGAUCGACGUAAUGAUUAAUAGGGAUAGUUGGGGGCAUUAGUAUUCAAUUGUCAGAGGUGAAAUUCUUGGAUUUAUUGAAGACUAACUACUGCGAAAGCAUUUGCCAAGGAUGUUUUCAUUAAUCAAGAACGAAAGUUAGGGGGAUCGAAGACGAUCAGAUACCGUCGUAGUCUUAACCAUAAACUAUGCCGACUAGGGAUCGGAUGAUGUUAAUUUUUUAAUGACUCAUUCGGCGCCUUACG
RNAcentral lists this ribosomal RNA (534 nucleotides) under uncultured Glomus. RNAcentral describes it as "SSU rRNA". It matches the Rfam family "Eukaryotic small subunit ribosomal RNA", at positions 555 to 1092 of the family's 1831-position model. The record is from RNAcentral. Lineage: Eukaryota; Fungi; Glomeromycota; Glomeromycetes; Glomerales; Glomeraceae.